Long non-coding RNA from Selaginella moellendorffii, 309 nucleotides. RefSeq lists it as uncharacterized. The transcript is spliced from 2 exons. NCBI's taxonomy places the organism in Eukaryota, Viridiplantae, Streptophyta, Lycopodiopsida, Selaginellales, Selaginellaceae. The record is from RefSeq and is a predicted model, not a curated record.
GUCGGAGAUCGAACUGCGAGUGGAGGACCACAGCAUCCGCCUCAAGCUGGAGAUUGUGAUUGAGAUUCCCAAGAAGGAGCUCAUCUCCAAGCUCUGUUCUUCUUAUCGGUCAGGGUACUAGAUUGCGUAGCAUUUUGGUUUAUAAGACCCCUUGCCUUUUCAGCGCAUUGGGAUGAUUUUCUGCUGCUUUGUGACAAGCUGGAGCAAAUAAUUGCCUUGCAGUAUCGCUCUAGACAAGAGAAUCUCACUGAUGUCUAUGAGCUCUUCAAUCCUCUUGGCAAUGUCAAGAAGCUGGAAAGCUUUUCUGAA